This is a long non-coding RNA of Carassius gibelio (silver crucian carp), 560 nucleotides long. RefSeq lists it as uncharacterized. The transcript is spliced from 3 exons. The record is from RefSeq and is a predicted model, not a curated record. Lineage: Eukaryota; Metazoa; Chordata; Actinopteri; Cypriniformes; Cyprinidae.
UAUUUCUUUUUCACUUACAUACAUGGUGUUUAGAAAGAAAAUUAAAAAAAUUAAAUUGAGCUCAGUGAAGAAAAUAUGUAUUUUACACAAGUCAUGCCUGAAGAAGACACAGAAGGUUGUCAAAACGUCACGAUAAAAGGCUUGGGUACUUGUAUAUAGUUUAAAAUCUCGACAGCUUUCUGUGUCUUCUUCAAGCACUUAAAAGUGCAUUUUUUGAAUUUAAGCACUCUUUCAUCUUCCCUUACACUCUUAUAAGUUUAAGAGUCUAUUUACAUGACUCUUAACCCAUAUGUAUCUUUUUUUAUUUUUUUCAGAUGGAGACAUCCAGUAUGGUUUUCCGUAAAGGGAGACCAGCGAGGCCCAGAGAGAGAGGCACAUGCUGAGUUAGAUGGAGACAUCCAGUAUGGUUUUCCGUAAAGGGAGACCAGCGAGGCCCAGAGAGAGAGGCACAUGCUGAGUUAGGUAAGUAGAAAUCUCUAAUUUUAUUUCUAAACACCAUUUAGGCUCCUAGGCAUUUAGGGCCUAGGCUCCUCCCCUCUGUUUAUUUAUGCUGCGGUGCC